This 538-nucleotide ribosomal RNA is filed under the name uncultured bacterium. Its description in RNAcentral is "bacterial SSU rRNA". It matches the Rfam family "Bacterial small subunit ribosomal RNA", at positions 8 to 590 of the family's 1533-position model. The record is from RNAcentral.
AGAGUUUGAUCCUGGCUCAGAGCGAACGCUGGCGGCAGGCUUAACACAUGCAAGUCGAGCGGGCGUAGCAAUACGUCAGCGGCAGACGGGUGAGUAACGCGUGGGAACGUACCUUUUGGUUCGGAACAACCCAGGGAAACUUGGGCUAAUACCGGAUAAGCCCUUACGGGGAAAGAUUUAUCGCCGAAAGAUCGGCCCGCGUCUGAUUAGCUAGUUGGUGAGGUAAUGGCUCACCAAGGCGACGAUCAGUAGCUGGUCUGAGAGGAUGAUCAGCCACAUUGGGACUGAGACACGGCCCAAACUCCUACGGGAGGCAGCAGUGGGGAAUAUUGGACAAUGGGCGCAAGCCUGAUCCAGCCAUGCCGCGUGAGUGAUGAAGGCCCUAGGGUUGUAAAGCUCUUUUGUGCGGGAAGAUAAUGACGGUACCGCAAGAAUAAGCCCCGGCUAACUUCGUGCCAGCAGCCGCGGUAAUACGAAGGGGGCUAGCGUUGCUCGGAAUCACUGGGCGUAAAGGGUGCGUAGGCGGGUCUUUAAGUCA